AGGCAAAGCAUAGGGCUUGGCUGGUUUUGGGGUGAGCAGCUGGGGGAUGCCUCGGACUUCCUCCAGAACCGGGUGUCCGGCCAGCGCACUUCCUGUCUCACGCUCUUCUCGACUUGCGCGGUGGCUACACCGAGAGGAACGUGGGCGCGGAAGUUGGGGGGUGCGUCUUGGGGUCUAGUGUGGCCUUGGGGAGAGGGUCUCGAACGCCGAGAUGGCGAGUCCCGGGUAGGAGGACAGGGUCACUCAGAGAUGCUUCGAUCCCGCACUCGUGUGCGCGCAAUCGCUGACCCUUCGCUUCCCCGGCGCUUUGUCCUGGGAGCGGGGUGACCAGUGUUGAGGGUUCGGCAGCUGCAGUCUGGGCCCACCUACCCCCCCCUUUUCUUUCAUCGUUCAAGCUCCGGAUCACAGUGCCCAACUCCUCGGAACCCACGAUUUAGUUAAAUCGCGAUGAUCCACUUGACUGGGAGCCGCUUCCCUGGCCAGGGAUAGGGAGAAAGGAAAAGCAGAGCGAAAGAAGGAACGCUACAGACAGAAGCGGCGAGCCAAGGAGUCUGGUUCGAAGGGCAGGAAGCCUAACGCGGAAAGCUGGCCUCCCGUCCAAAGCGAGGUGCAGGGCAGGCGGGCGCGGUUCUCCGCCGUGGGGCAGGCGCAGAGCUGCCCCCCCCCAGCCCUCCUCUUGCCCCUGCCACAGCGGGUUCCAGUUUUUGGCCUCAUUCCCAGACUUUACAAGGAGUAAACAAAACGAAGUUUCAGUGAACAAGAAUUCGCUGAUCUCAAGCUCACUUCCAGACAGCCGCCGCUGCCAGGUUUGCGUGCGCCGCCUCUGCAGUAAAUAAGAAAUGCGGACUCCCGCUGGCCUGGGGACACCUGCUACCCGAACCUCCGGCCUCCAGCCCUAUUUCUCACCGACUCCGGUGACCUGGAAACGGGGCUCAAGACCGCCCUUCUCCACCAAGAACCCUAACCGGCCGCUGGGUGCCCGCCCGACCUCUUCCAUCCCAAGCUGUCAAAGAUUCCGUGGAGCCCUCCGAGCCCGACUUGGACUGUGGGCCCGCAUCUGGGGCCACUGAGGCCUGGAUGUGCCCGCUGACCACCGACGCAGGUUCCCAGGAGCGAAGCCUAAAGCUGGCGUGGUCCUGGGAAAGACCGGCGCGCCGGGUGGGGUGCUCGGCUCUUCGGUCGCCGUCCAGACUAGCAAGCCCCAGCGCGUUCUCAGCUUGAGGCUGAGGCCAGGCCUCGGCUAGUUCUUUGGGAGCUUUUCAACUGCGCGGCUUGGCGGGCGUCGGACCUGCCCAGUCUUGGCCACGCACGCGGGCGGAUUUGGAGCUAUGAAGUGAGCUCAGGCGGUUCUGAGUGGCCAUGUGGGCCGUGGCUACUCGAGCCAUGCCCCUUGGCCAGUAGCUGACCUCCCACCGACCUGGAGGUGGAUCAGGCAGGCAUCCACUCAUCAGGGCUGGGUGCCUGCUUGAGUGAAUUAUCUCCUGCUGCCCUAGUGGUAGUAGUGACCCCCCACACCCUAGACAGAAGUUGGAAGGCCCAGCCUGGGCAGGUUGCCCAGGAUCUGUGUCUGUGGCUCCAGCCCCAGAUUAAGAAGGGCCUUGCUUUCCUACUCCACAUUCUCUUCUCACCCCCUCCUAGCAAAGGUUCUUGGACAGCAGAAGGGGUAAUGCUGAAUGAGAAAAGCCCACCCUGGGUAGCCGAGGGCCUGCACACACCAGUCACAUUUGGUGCCUACCCCCUUAACCACAGGACCCAGAGCCAGCCCCCUAAGUCCUCCAGGGAGGAAAAGUCCCAAGUAGAAGCCCCUCCAUCAGGCAGCUACAGUGGACCUGACCUUUGCAACCAGCCACCCAGGGGACUCACAGCAUCCAGGGAAGAUCAACUCUCCAGUUCCUCUUUGAUAGGUGGGACUGAGACUUGCCCAGGCUGAGGCCCACAGCAAAGGUUCUGCCCGGAAAGUUUAGCUCCUACUGCUGUCACAGCAGGGGCUUACAACCCUCAGGGCAUUUCAGUUCAACUAGGACUUGAGAAAGGAAUCUGAGGUAAGAAAGGGGGGGGGGGGCCUGGGAUAGCACACAAGUCUCUUAGCAGAUCUCUCAACAACAAAAAAGGGUAAGACUGUUCUAAUAGGAAAGUGAAGGUUUCCAGAAAUUGCUCCACACAGCCAGAGACUGGAUGUGGAUGGAAAUCUUCACAGCUAUGUGGGCUGUGGGACCAGCCUGCUUUGAGUUCAAAUCCACUUGCUACCUGUAUUGCUUGUGUGUACAAAAGUUAUUUAACCUCUCUGAGCUAAGGAUUCCAACAGUUAGAUUUAGGGACAGGACUUCCAGAUUUAGCUCAGUCUGCAGUCAAACUCCGAUCCUCCUCUUGCCUCAGUCUCCAGAGUAGGGCUAUUACUCUGAGUACCAUAUGCCCAGCUCUACUUUUAAAAAGGAGGUAUUAGCAUGCUUGUUUAACAAAAUUC
This is a long non-coding RNA of Nannospalax galili (Upper Galilee mountains blind mole rat), 2464 nucleotides long. RefSeq lists it as uncharacterized. The record is from RefSeq and is a predicted model, not a curated record. The transcript has 3 exons. NCBI's taxonomy places the organism in Eukaryota, Metazoa, Chordata, Mammalia, Rodentia, Spalacidae.